CAUUUUCCAUGUUCAAUGGACCGUGAAAUUGGGUGAAAAAUAUAAUUAGACAUUAAAAUUAGAAAGAUAAUAUCACAGGAAACAUGUGUACUAAGUUUAAAGUUGAUUGGACUUCAACUUCAUCAAAAACUACCUUGACCAAAAACUUUAACCUGAAACUCGCACUUUCAUUUUCUAAGUUCAGUGGACCGUGAAAUUGGGGUCAAAAGUUUAAUUUGGCUUUAAAAUUAGAAAGAUCAUAUCAUAAGGAACAUGUGUACUAAGUUUCAAGUUGAUUGGACUUCAACUUCAUCAAAAACUACCUUGACCAAAAACUUUAACCUGAAGCGGGACAGACGGACGAACGAACGGACGGACGGACGGACGAACGGAUGAACGGAC
RNAcentral lists this long non-coding RNA (381 nucleotides) under Mytilus galloprovincialis (Mediterranean mussel). Lineage: Eukaryota; Metazoa; Mollusca; Bivalvia; Mytilida; Mytilidae. The record is from RNAcentral.